RNAcentral lists this ribosomal RNA (381 nucleotides) under uncultured eukaryote. RNAcentral's name for it is "SSU rRNA". It matches the Rfam family "Eukaryotic small subunit ribosomal RNA", at positions 587 to 972 of the family's 1831-position model. The record is from RNAcentral.
AGCUCCAAUAGCGUAUAGUAAAAUUGUUGCGAUUAAAAAACUCGUAGUUGGAUUUCUGCCGAGGACGAUCGGUCCGCCCUCUGGGUGAGUAUCUGGCUUGGCCUGGGCAUCCUCUUGGAGAACGUAGCUGCACUUGACUGUGUGGUGCGGUAUCAAGGAUUUUCACUUUGAGGAAAUUAGAGUGUUUCAAGCAGGCAUGCGCCUUGAAUACAUUAGCAUGGAAUAAUAAGAUAGGACCUCGGUUCUAUUUUAUUGGUUUCUAGAGCUGAGGUAAUGAUUAAUAGGGAUAGUUGGGGGCAUUCGUAUUUAACUGUCAGAGGUGAAAUCUUUGGAUUAGUUGAGGACGGACUACUGCGAAAGCAUUUGCCAAGGAUGUUUUCA